This 417-nucleotide long non-coding RNA is filed under the name Apteryx owenii (little spotted kiwi). Its description in RNAcentral is "lncRNA (ENSAOWG00000009658.1)". The record is from RNAcentral. Lineage: Eukaryota; Metazoa; Chordata; Aves; Apterygiformes; Apterygidae.
GAAGCGGAGCGCGUAGUGGGUGUUUGGCGCGCGCGUGGCGGUGGACGUUAAACUCCGCUCCGGAGCGGGCGGGCGACAAGCAAGUCCGCCCGUCCCGGCGCCUUCGUGACGCCUCCCGCAAUUUUGCAUGCUGCUUGAUAAAAGCCUCAGCACUUGGCAAACUCUACUGUGACUCUUCAUGGCUCUACCCCUGUAUCAGCAUACUUGAAGACAGCACAGCAUGGAUUCAAAUCUUAGACACAAGAAGUCUUUUGAAUAAGAAAAAAACCUGAUCUGAUUACAGUGCAAAACAAAUCACGUGUAGAUGUCCAGAAAAUGUCUCAAGCAUUUCAAGGAGUGUCCACAUUCUGACUUUUCUUUUUAUGUGAAUUAAAACAAUGGAAUAAAUAAAAACACUCUUACUUAAAAAACCUUUAU